Molecule: long non-coding RNA, 3692 nt
Organism: Brassica napus (rape)
Lineage: Eukaryota; Viridiplantae; Streptophyta; Magnoliopsida; Brassicales; Brassicaceae
Exons: 3
Source: RefSeq, a predicted model, not a curated record
GCCUAAUUCCCCAAAUUUAAAACCAUUCAAUAUUAUUGUGCACAACAUUCAAUAUUGUGCACACCUAUCAUUGAAGAUUGAAAACGUAUAGAAGAGCAUUAAAUACCAAUUGCAAUUCUCUCUGCAAACAACAAUAGAAACCUCCGCCUUUCUCCGGUGCCGGAUUAGACGGUGUCGGAGGCGUCUCUCCUAGCCUUUAGUCCUCGUCUUUGUUUGCUCUCUGCUUCUGGUUCCUCUCCUCCGUCCAAGAUGCAAGGGGCUCUGGUUUCUUCCGACUUCACCUCUCCAGCGAUCUGCUCAUGAGGUUUCGUUCGGUUGUGGAGUUCGUCAGUCUUUGGAGUCCUGGCGAGGCGUGUAAGGUUGGUCAGUUCAGGGAGUCGGUUUUUAGGGUUUGAGGUUUGUCAGAUCUCGUUUUCCGUUUGGAGAUCUCCGGUGUUCCUCUCCGUUAGGCGGCGCGUGAAUCUGUUGAGGAUGUUUCUCUCACCGGCCUCGGUGUGUUAUAGCUCUAUCCGUCGUUUGAAGGGCCGGUGCAGGAGGUGGUGGCGCGUGAGAAGUUCUGUCUCUUGGUGUCUUUCGACGGAGUCUCAUCCCGCCGGUAUCGUUCUAGCUUAUUCCCUUUGCUGCUGUCUUUCAAUCCCGAGUGUCGUAGUUCUAGGUCUUGUUGUCUUUGUUGUAGGUUUCGGUGUUGUUGUUGUUAUUUUUGUCUGUGUUAGUGGCUUGUCUUUGUGGUAUUUGUGUUGGUUGGUUGUUGUUUAGUUCUCAGUUGGUUUGCUGUCAUAGCUUGGUCUUUAAAAAUUUUCCUUAGUGUGUUGGUGGGUUUUUUGAAUCCGUUAGUGGUGGUAGUGUUAAAGCGUGGUGAGAGUUGGGUUAGCAGAGGUUAUUCGUAGAGUGGUGGGUGCAGUGAUCGCUUUUCGGUUCUCAGGAUGUGGUUCUGGAGGGUCCGUAUGGUAAGGCCUCGUCUUAGUUGAGUUUGUAUCUGGGCUUCUAUCUAUGAGUAAGUGGGCGCGAUGUGCGUCGCACCAUUAUCUGAAGGCAAUGUGGACCGUGUAGCGGUUCUUCCUGUCGUGUCAUGAAGUCGCAGGGUUUGAGUUCUUGGGCGUUAUCGUUUUGCGUGCGUGUAGCAGCAGCGAUAAGUCAUGGUGCAGGAGGUGAAAUUUUCCGCGUGGCGAGCUAUAGCCAGCAGCAGCUGCAAUUUCCGAUCAUUGGCCUCUACAAAAAUUUAAAAUCUGCUAAUUAUCUUUUCAUUCGCUCGGGUUGCUUAGCCUUAUCUAGUGUCGGUUUUGGUUUCUUGGUAUUGUAAGCUUCCCCGGUGUGGGUUUAAGUAGCCGCCUUUAUGUGGGCUUUUGUGGAUGGAGAUUGUUCAUUCAUCUCCGAGUUUAUGUUUUGAGUCACCCUUGUGUGGGUUCUUGUAGCCAUUUCUAUAUGGGCUCUUGUGUGUUUCUUUUGAAUGAAAUAAAUUACUUUUUCGUGGAAAAAAAAAAUAUUGUGCACACCUAUCAUUAAUCUAUUAAUAUAAAGAAAGACCAUUCCCUCAUUUUCUUUCAUCCACGUCAGAUAAUAGUGUUACCAACGAUCGACACGUGUCCAAAACACAAAUCCGUUGCGUUUCAUUAAACUUUCAGUUACAUGGUUUUUAAUUUGAUUUGGGCCUUACAUUUGUCCAAUUUGGCUAGCCAUCAAUGAUUCAGCUUCUUGCUAACGCUCUAUACCAGUUACAGAAUCCCCAUCUUUAAAGUCAUUCUUAAAUCAUCACCCACUAUCUUUCUUGAAUGCGAUCCUCUUCAUGUGAGUCGGUGGAACUUUAAUUAUAAAAGGAAAAUGGCUAAGGCAGCAAUCUUCCUUUCCGAUCUGACCGGACGAUGCUCCUCCACCCUUCAAGUCCGGUUGCUCCACUUCUGGGAAGCCAAGAACGCCUGACGCGGCGGCGAACUCAUUGAGUCGACAUGUUUCUGCUUGAGAUUUAUAGGAACUUAUGCCCGGAAUAUGGAAGACCUUGAUAGUACACCGAGGCUGAAAGCUAGCUUUAAUUUGUAGAAAGAACGCUGAGGUAGACACAUCUGCCUUCCAUUGCACCAACUACACUCAGUGAGAAUACAUUUCCCCUGCAAAAUUUUCUUUUUCCCUUUGCGAACUAAGCCCUAAAAUAAAAAAAAAUAAAAAAUGCACAAUGGAAUCCAUUGGUUUGAUUCACUUUUGUACAUAAUUUUUCUAUUCUCUGUGGAUUUAAAGGUUCAUUUUUUGGUUUAGCGAGCACGUGAUCGUAUCUUUGUCUACGAAACUGGUGCCACAAAACAUGUUCCCAGAGCUCCAUUUAUUGAUCUCGAGCCCACUGUUAUCAAUGAAGUCCGUAGGAGAACUUACCGUCAGCUUUUCCAUCCUGAGCAGCUAACCUCUGGAAACAACUUGGCGGAAGACAAUUAUACUGGUGAGGAAACUUUACAUGGAGAAUUUUUAGAUUCAUGUAUUGUUUUUACAUGCAUCAUUUUCAGAUUUAAAAAUCCAUGCGGACAUAAUCACUAGGUGUUUCAUGCAGAGAUAAUUAUCUCCUAAUUAUUUACUAAUACAUAUAUUUUUAAUUUUAAAUAGAACAUCAAAUUAUUUGUAUAUGACAAAAUUUCUAACAAAAUAAAUCAUUGAAAACACUGAAUAUCCGAUUUUAUAAUAUGAAAUCAAACCACAUCUAGAAUUCAAGUAACCUUUUAAAACCUCAUUAUAACGUAAAUACCAAAACAAACAACUGUUUAUAAUAGUAAUUACUAAGAUUGUCCAAAACAACUAUAAUAACUUUGAUAGAGAGUUUCUCUAAAUUAAAACUUCAUUCUCCACUAUUUAUAAACACUCACGGAAAAAAAUAUAUUAGAAAAAUCGAUCUCAUUUUCUUUUGAUCGAAUCCGAUUGAUUUAUGUAUUUUAUAGUAUUAUAAAACUGAAAACACUAUAAAAACUUACAAUUUAAGAUUAAAACAGCAAAAAUAUUAAAAAAUCUAUUAUUUUUAGUUAUAUAGUUGAAAUUUGGUGUAUACAACAUAAUCAUACUUAUACCCAACUUAACAUAAAAGAAAAUUGACACAAAAUUAUAUAUUUUAUAAAAUCCGAUCUAUCAAAUCCCGCCCGCCCUACGGGCCUAUACUAGUAAAAAGUAAAAAAUGCUAUAAUCCAUAGGACGCGUCCAUAUAGGCUUUAAAACCACCAAUAAAAAUAUGUAAAAUCAAAUUAAAUGUUAAUAUUUCCAAAAAUGUAUAGUAUCUAAUAAAUUAGGCUAAUUAAAAAAUUAUUAGCAUUUAAAAUGUUAUGAUUUCCAAAUUAAUGUAUAUUAACAGAAAAUAUAAGUAGUAAUACUUAAUUAUCAUUUAUUCAGAGGUAUAGGGGGCUUUAUUCGUUACAGACGGUGGGAAGUUUGGCCCGGAUCGCUUUCACUGACCCUUUCGCCACUGACUCACCUAGCGACGAAGACAACCACGAGUGAAACGUUACGUGGAAAAAAUUAAAUAUAAAAUAUAAAAAUGGAAAAACUAAAUUAAAUAUCUAUCUGAAAACUAUGUAUAAAAAACAAUAUAAGAAAUAGAAAUAUCACAUUAAACAUUUUUCAUAAUAUUAAAAUAAAUAAAUAUACAAUAUAAGAAAUAAAAAACUACAUUAAACAUCUAUCUGAAAAUUGUAUACUAAAAUAAAUAAUAAAUAAAUAUACAGUUU